Long non-coding RNA from Ochotona curzoniae (black-lipped pika), 293 nucleotides. RefSeq lists it as uncharacterized. The record is from RefSeq and is a predicted model, not a curated record. Lineage: Eukaryota; Metazoa; Chordata; Mammalia; Lagomorpha; Ochotonidae. The transcript is spliced from 3 exons.
UAUUUAGUAACACUUGCAAAAGCCUAAAUUUGUAAAACCCAUGAAGGGGUGAACUGAAGGGGAAAGCACUGUAGCGCUAUUAAAGGUUCUUGAACCACAAACUCAAGCCCACAACUGAUCAAAAAUACUUGGGAACAAAAUUUCAGAAAGCUCCAAAGAGCAAAAUUAACCGCAGCUUCCAUUGCAUCUGAUACUCCAUGGAAGUGCCUCGGUGCCCUGGCCAAGAAUCCUGGCUCCUGGAGGCCCCACAGCCUGCCCUCAACUCCUGGCUCUGCCACAAGCUGUGUGACCUU